This 329-nucleotide ribosomal RNA is filed under the name uncultured eukaryote. RNAcentral's name for it is "partial 18S ribosomal RNA". It matches the Rfam family "Eukaryotic small subunit ribosomal RNA", at positions 1470 to 1796 of the family's 1831-position model. The record is from RNAcentral.
CCCUUAGAUGUUCUGGGCCGCACGCGCGCUACACUGAUGCAUUCAACGAGUCUAAAACCUGCUCUGAUAGGGGUGGGUAAUCUUUUGAAUGUGCAUCGUGAUUGGGAUAGAUGAUUGCAAUUUUUCAUCUUCAACGAGGAAUGCCUAGUAAACGCAAGUCAUCAGCUUGCAUUGAUUACGUCCCUGCCCUUUGUACACACCGCCCGUCGCUCCUACCGAUUGAAUGAUCCGAUGAAUAUCAUGGAUUUAGGAUGCAAGUAGGUUCGCCUAUCUUCAUCUUCGAGAAGUGAAGUAAAUCUUAUCAUUUAGAGGAAGGAGAAGUCGUAACA